This 229-nucleotide unclassified non-coding RNA is filed under the name Hevea brasiliensis (rubber tree). The record is from RNAcentral. Lineage: Eukaryota; Viridiplantae; Streptophyta; Magnoliopsida; Malpighiales; Euphorbiaceae.
AAACAUGCCUAAUCAAAUUUCCCAGCUAACGGACUUGUAUUGAUUCAGAUAUCUUUUUGCAAAAUGAGCCUAGAUGGAAUAACAAAGUCUUGAACUGCUCAACUUCUUUUUGCAAGAUCUAUAAACUGAACAGAUAAUUACAAAAAUAAGCCUAGUUAAACAAAAACAUCUUUCCCUAAUCCUCCAAUUUGAUUCAAAAUAGACAAAUAUAUAUAUAUGUAUGUGUGUG